RNAcentral lists this ribosomal RNA (425 nucleotides) under uncultured bacterium. RNAcentral describes it as "partial 16S ribosomal RNA". It matches the Rfam family "Bacterial small subunit ribosomal RNA", at positions 354 to 796 of the family's 1533-position model. The record is from RNAcentral.
GUGGGGAAUCUUGCGCAAUGGGCGAAAGCCUGACGCAGCCAUGCCGCGUGAAUGAUGAAGGUCUUAGGAUUGUAAAAUUCUUUCACCGGGGACGAUAAUGACGGUACCCGGAGAAGAAGCUCCGGCUAACUUCGUGCCAGCAGCCGAGGUAAUACGAAGGGGGCUAGCGUUGCUCGGAAUUACUGGGCGUAAAGGGCGCGUAGGCGGACAGCUUAGUCAGAGGUGAAAGCCCAGGGCUCAACCUUGGAAUUGCCUUUGAUACUGGCUGUCUUGAGUUUGGGAGAGGUGAGUGGAACUCCGAGUGUAGAGGUGAAAUUCGUAGAUAUUCGGAAGAACACCAGUGGCGAAGGCGACUCACUGGCCCAAUACUGACGCUGAGGCGCGAAAGCGUGGGGAGCAAACAGGAUUAGAAACCCCGGUAGUCC